RNAcentral lists this ribosomal RNA (440 nucleotides) under uncultured bacterium. RNAcentral's name for it is "partial 16S ribosomal RNA". It matches the Rfam family "Bacterial small subunit ribosomal RNA", at positions 338 to 795 of the family's 1533-position model. The record is from RNAcentral.
CCUACGGGUGGCAGCAGUGGGGAAUAUUGCACAAUGGGGGCAACCCUGAUCCAGCGACGCCGCGUGAGUGAAGAAGUAUCUCGGUACGUAAAGCCCUAUCAGCAGGGAAGAAAAUGACGGUACCUGACUAAGAAGCCCCGGCUAACUACGUGCCAGCAGCCGCGGUAAUACGUAGGGGGCGAGCGUUAUCCGGAUUUACUGGGUGUAACGGGAGCGUAGACGGCUGCACAAGUCUGGAGUGAAAUCCCGGGGCUUAACCCCGGAACUGCUUUGGAAACUGUGCGGCUGGAGUGCAGGAGGGGUAAGCGGAAUUCCUAGUGUAGCGGUGAAAUGCGUAGAUAUGAGGAGGAACACCGGUGGCGAAGGCGGCUUACUGGACUGUAACUGACGUUGAGGCUCGAAAGCGUGGGGAGCAAACAGGAUUAGAUACCCCAGUAGUC